CCAAAGGCUCUUUUCAGAGCCACCCACCUCUGCUCUAAAGGGCUGU
Oryctolagus cuniculus (rabbit) is the source of this 46-nucleotide regulatory RNA element. It matches the Rfam family "Histone 3' UTR stem-loop". Rfam says of the family: The mRNAs of metazoan histone genes lack a poly-A tail. 3' end processing occurs at a site between a highly conserved stem-loop (modelled by this family) and a purine rich region around 20 nts downstream (the histone downstream element, or HDE). Lineage: Eukaryota; Metazoa; Chordata; Mammalia; Lagomorpha; Leporidae. The record is from Rfam.